Molecule: ribosomal RNA, 253 nt
Filed under: uncultured bacterium
Lineage: Bacteria
Description: partial 16S ribosomal RNA
Rfam family: Bacterial small subunit ribosomal RNA
Source: RNAcentral
UACGUAGGGGGCAAGCGUUGUCCGGAAUCAUUGGGCGUAAAGAGCGCGUAGGCGGUCCGGUAAGUCGGUUGUGAAAACUGGGGGCUCAACCCUCAGAGGCCGACCGAUACUGUCGGGCUAGAGUCCGGAAGAGGAGAGUGGAAUUCCUGGUGUAGCGGUGAAAUGCGCAGAUAUCAGGAAGAACACCAAUGGCGAAGGCAGCUCUCUGGGACGGUACUGACGCUGAGACGCGAAAGCGUGGGGAGCGAACAGG